AUUGAACGCUGGCGGCAUGCCUUACACAUGCAAGUCGAACGGCAGCACGGGAGCUUGCUCCUGGUGGCGAGUGCGAACGGGUGAGUAAUACAUCGGAACGUACCCAGUAGUGGGGGAUAACGCACCGAAAGGUGCGCUAAUACCGCAUACGACCUACGGGUGAAAGCGGGGGACCGUAAGGCCUCGCGCUAUUGGAGCGGCCGAUGUCUGAUUAGCUAGUUGGCGGGGUAAAAGCCCACCAAGGCGACGAUCAGUAGCUGGUCUGAGAGGACGAUCAGCCACACUGGGACUGAGACACGGCCCAGCCUCCUACGGGAGGCAGCAGUGGGGAAUUUUGGACAAUGGGGGCAACCCUGAUCCAGCAAUGCCGCGUGUGCGAAGAAGGCCUUCGGGUUGUAAAGCACUUUUGUCAGGGAAGAAUCUUUCAGGCUAAUACCCUUGGAAGGAUGACGGUACCAGAAGAAUAAGCACCGGCUAACUACGUGCCAGCCGCCGCAGUAA
Molecule: ribosomal RNA, 501 nt
Filed under: uncultured bacterium
Lineage: Bacteria
Description: partial 16S ribosomal RNA
Rfam family: Bacterial small subunit ribosomal RNA
Source: RNAcentral